This 409-nucleotide long non-coding RNA is filed under the name Chrysemys picta bellii (western painted turtle). RNAcentral's name for it is "lncRNA (ENSCPBG00000023880.1)". Lineage: Eukaryota; Metazoa; Chordata; Testudines; Emydidae. The record is from RNAcentral.
CACAUGUAAGGCGUGCUUGUUGUAGCAGGAUUCAACUAUCAAGCUUUGAAUUGUAAAUUUUUCUCAGCACCAGUGGUAACAGUACCUGCAUCUACAUCUGCAUUACUGCUAUCAGUCUUCAGGAUUAACCACCUGACUUCUGUGGAAUAUUCCAAGUGUAUUCUGACACAGAACACAAUUGCUUUCCUGGUGUAUGCAUAUUACCAGGGACUGGUUUAACUGAAUAUGAAGGGGCAGAUUCAACAUUGCCUUGUGGUCCCUUUGUGCUGACUAUACCAGUUUGCCAUGGAUAAAGGGUGGGUGUAAGGCCCAUGUGGUGAUAGCAUGGGGAGACUAUAUGCCCGGUUCAGAGCUGAUACCAUCAUCUCUGCACUGCUUCUGCAGAAGACUCCAUCAUAAAGAAUGUUCC